Physella acuta is the source of this 2628-nucleotide RNA transcript. RefSeq lists it as uncharacterized. The record is from RefSeq and is a predicted model, not a curated record. Lineage: Eukaryota; Metazoa; Mollusca; Gastropoda; Physidae.
GGAGUUAUUUAAUUAUUAUUUUAUUACAAAAAGGCGAAUGUCACUUUUUGUGUUCCUUUGAGAGUUGUUGUGGUUUUUAGUUAAGAAGUCCGCUAUUAUGGCGCUGAUAUGAUUUUUAUUUUAAAAUGAUUGAUAACCUGGUUAUUGUGUCUUGCUUAUAUUUUGAUGUUAUUAUUUAUGCAAACUUUGUUUUGGAGUGUGGCUCCACUUUGCUUUAUAUCCUGAAUGUAAGUUAUUGUUGUAUUAGGGACUAUUUUCUUGUGCGUAGCAUUGGUUUCUUUGUUCGUAGUAUUGGUUUCUUUGUUCGUGAAUGUGGGGUGUCGACAGGGAGGGACAUUCUGCUGGAAUGUCGAGGCCUGUGUGUUGAAGAGUUUCUGUGUCACGUUUGUGGUGUAUGGUAACGUAGGGUUAUUUUUAUAGUGUUUUAUUAUGUUUUCCAUAUUUUUGUUUGCUUAUUUUGUAUACAAAGUGACUAUAUACUAGAUCUAUUUAGUCACUUCGACUUUGAGAAGUCUCAAUGUUUGUUUUAUCCAGACCACGUGGUAGCACGAUGGCCUGGGUUUAGUCAUGGAUUAAUGUAGAUUUUACUUUCAUUUAUGAGAGCCUCUUGUUUAGGCUGACAAUUGUGUCAACUUCUUAGUGCCUUGUAUAUAACUUUUUAUGUAAAGUAAUUAAUUUAUUUGUUUUCCUCUUUCUAGGACGGUGGUCCGAAAUUGGGUGUUAUGUUUCGUUGAGUUCUGUUUGUUUUGUAUGUCCUGAGUGUUUUGUUUUGUCUAGAUCUAGAUUCUAGUUUUUUUAUAAUAAUUUUGGUUCCAUGAAAUAAAUUUUAUAUUAUUGUUAAAGUUUUUCUGUUUUUUUUUUAAUUUAGACUAAGGUUAGGGUUUAACCACUGUGGGUUCUACCACGGUUGCACUGACCGGACAGCUUAGUUAGUUAGAUAAGCCUAGAAGGGUAGAUUUUAGGUAUCCCCCCCCCCCUAGCAGGGCUUACAAAUUGGUAGCACGAGUGGGGUCAGUGCUUUAGUCUAGCUAAAUUUUUGUUUUUCUGUUAGAGCUAGUGUAGCUUAGAUAAAUUUUUGUUUUUGAUAGGCCCUUUUUGGAACCAUAUGUGUUUAGUUUUUUUGUGUUUAGUGUAGGGAUUGUUUAAACACCCAAUUCGGACGAGAUGGCGGGGCACCCGAUGAACAUCAUUAUUGUGCCACCCAGAGAGGUUAAAAUCCAGAGGUUCCAUGGAGACAGCCAUGCCUCGUUGGUGGAACGUUUCAUUGAAGAGGUGCAGGUUGCAUGGAGGGCGAGGAAAGACCUCUCUGCUGAAGAAAGAAAAGACCUCCUCUGGGAGCACCUUGGGGAGUCUGUUAAAGAGGAGCUCCGAUGUAGGGGCAAUGAUCUGGAGCAGGACCCUGAGGCAACUUUAAUACUCCUGAGGGACAUUUACGGGGAAAAGCGUAGCAUCCCCCAACUGAUGGCCCAGUUUCAAAGGGUGGUGCAAAGCCCAAAUGAGACAGUGAGGUCUUAUUCACACCGUCUGCACCAAGCCUUUAGGUUGCUCACAGCCAGGCAAACAAACCUGCACAGGGCCCCUGUGAGUCCAGUCUUCCUGCGAGACCAGUUUGUUCAGAACCUUAACCAACCCUCUGUUAGGCGUCAGCUGGAAGAAAUGGUCUUCUGUGACCAAAAGGCGUCAUUUAUUGUCCUGAGGGAUGCGGCUAUCAGGUGGGCACAGGACGAAUGCCCAGGCAGAGAAUCUAAGAGUGUUACAACUUUAAACACCAGGCCUGAUGUGCAAACAUUUGCACCUCCCACUACAUCCAACCUGGAGGACAGAGUAGACAAUUUGGCAGCACAAAUCUCUAGUAUUUCUGCUCUCGUUUCCCCAAGGGGAACGCGGUUUGCACCCGACAAGCAGAGACCGACUGUGAGGAGCAGGUCCUGCUUCAAAUGUCACCAGCUGGGCCACAUAGCCAGUAACUGUUAUGGCAACAUAAUAAUGUAUCCCGCUUUUAAUCUGUUCAUCUAUUUUUUUAACAUUGUUCUGUUCACAUGUCUGGUAUCUGCAUUUUUGAAUUUUUAUUGCUUGCAGGUACUGCAAGCUUUACAGGGGGUGAAUGUAAGGGGCUGGGGAGUUAUUUAAUUAUUAUUUUAUUACAAAAAGGCGAAUGUCACUUUUUGUGUUCCUUUGAGAGUUGUUGUGGUUUUUAGUUAAGAAGUCCGCUAUUAUGGCGCUGAUAUGAUUUUUAUUUUAAAAUGAUUGAUAACCUGGUUAUUGUGUCUUGCUUAUAUUUUGAUGUUAUUAUUUAUGCAAACUUUGUUUUGGAGUGUGGCUCCACUUUGCUUUAUAUCCUGAAUGUAAGUUAUUGUUGUAUUAGGGACUAUUUUCUUGUGCGUAGCAUUGGUUUCUUUGUUCGUAGUAUUGGUUUCUUUGUUCGUGAAUGUGGGGUGUCGACAGGGAGGGACAUUCUGCUGGAAUGUCGAGGCCUGUGUGUUGAAGAGUUUCUGUGUCACGUUUGUGGUGUAUGGACGGUGGUCCGAAAUUGGGUGUUAUGUUUCGUUGAGUUCUGUUUGUUUUGUAUGUCCUGAGUGUUUUGUUUUGUCUAGAUCUAGAUUCUAGUUUUUUUAUAAUAAUUUUGGU